AGAUGCGGAAAGGCUAAAAAAUUGGUAAAAAUUGCACAAUUCCUGUGCCAUUAAUGUUGCUUAUAUUUCACGCGACCCGUGUAAGCGUAUAUUAUCGCGAGGUUUCUCGAUGUGUAGCUGCCUACCAUAAGUCAUCGGAACAAUGCACGAGCACAUAGGUAUUAUUUACUCCACCUUCGUUCUCGAGCUAUGAUCUAUACUCUAUGCCAGAGUAGUCUGCCAUCUAUACUUACUUCCACGUACUUGUUUCUCGACUAAUGUCUCCCGAUUAUUAAAAAUUAACACGUCGAAUCGUUUGUAAAUGUAUACCAAUUACUCGUGUGCAAUAGGUACAUACGCGAUGUAACGAUAAAGUAUUAUAUCCUUUUUCAUUCCUCAAACGGUUCAAAGUGUAGUUUGGAAUGUUACGAGGCGGAAUUGGCGCUUGUAAAAGUUAACAGGAAACAUGUCCGGGUUCAAGCAGCCAUAUUUCACGAGUCGAAGUCUCAUAAGAGGAGAAACACGUAAAGAUAGGUAAACGUAGCCCUUUACAAGGUUAGGUUAGGUAUUUUCUUCUGAGUGUUCAAAAAGGAUUCCACCAACAAUGUACAAAGUACGUAAGUACUUGUUAGUACGUAUUGUAGUAAGUAUUGUAGUUAACAAAGAAACGAAUGUUCGCUAUAUGAAUAAAUACGAUACGUAUGGUAUUUAAAGGAAUUCGAGAAUUUGUUAAGUUUUUAUCGAUUUGAUCAAUUUACACGAUACGAAGUGGGACGAAAAACAUUUUUUUAUGAUUCUCGAAUCGAUUUUUAUAUUUUAUCUCCGAUUUUGUUCUUUUGUUGAAAAUCUUUAAAACUAAUUUACGAAAUGUGGCUAAAGAGAGCGCGAAAGAUAUUAUAGUUAGAGGGUGCGUUUUCGUAGUAAGUUGCAGUGUGUAGAGGCAGACGAAUUUCGGUGAGCUCGACGAGUUCGAGGAACACAUGUGCCGUGUGGUAAUGAUCAUUACCGUGUAAUGAUCGGACCAAUCGAUUGGCUUCGAUCGGUCCUGCAUGUUAGUGGUUCCCAACUUUGUUGCUGCGUUAUUCGAUACUUAGAUUGGCUUAGAUUAAAUUAGACAAUUUUUAAACCAAUAUUUCGAAAAAAGGAGAUAAUUGAUAAGGAAAAUUGAUAAGGAAAAUAAUUGGUAUCCCGAAACUGCUCUAUUUUACUCAGACUUUUUCCCUAAUUUCAAUUUAUUGUAAUUGUAUGUAAUUAACACAUUCGAGAUGGCAUCGAAAAGUAUUUCUUCGAUAUAAGAUUUUUUUUCGAUAAAUAUGAAAAAUCGAAUAUUUAAAAAUCUCUAUAGGAAAUUCCCAUAAACGCACACAUAAACGCUUCUCGAAUUAAUUAAUUAGUUGAUUCAAUGUUUUAAUCAGAGGUAGUGUUUUAUCAUGCACGUUUGUUUGUCAUCAUUUAACCGAAGAAUAUGGAAAGGAUAUAGGAAAAUUGAACGCGUCAGGUUGAAAAACACUGGCUAAGAGGGUACUGUACGUAACCGGUAACGCGGCAAGUUCGCACCUCCGCAAAGAGGGUCCAUCUCGCGCUCGCCCUACCGCGCAACACCGCUCGUUAAACGAAUUAAGUAGUUACGGUUUGUUUAAUCGGGGCCACGGAGGCCUGAAUUAAGUUGUUAUCGCGAAUUAGCUGAUUAUACCGAGGCGGCGCGAGGUGUCGAGUUGAUUUGUUGUUGCGAAAUAUGGCAUGAGGUUUGUUUAUGCUCGCCACGCCCCACACCCCCUCGCCGACCUUUCAGCUCGUUUACGGCUGACCUUAAAUAAGGUGCAUAGACCGUUCCAUCCAUCCAUCCACGCUACUCUCUCUUUACUCUCUUUCCGUCCAUGAUCCCACCCCUUUCACUCGCGCCACGGAAACCAGGGGAUGGAUAAUCAUUCUCUAUAAUGCUAUGAUAACACUUCACAAGUGCAUGAUAUAUCGCUAAUGGCAGGAGACUCGUAAUCUGCCUUUUUUCGAGAAACACGAUACAUUUUUUCACCGGACUAAAACUAAUAUUGACUGUAACAACGUGUUUUUUUUUCUCCCCCCCCCCCCUUUCAUUUAAUUAUGGUAUCGCGUUUCCCCUAUAAGAAAUUUAAGUAUCCGAUAGAUCCGGUCAGUUUUUUUGGAUUUCUUAAAUUUCUUAGAUUACAUUCGAUUAGAUAGAAAGAAAAAUGAUGGAAUAAUUAUCGGAAUAAAUUUUAUCUUGUUAGCGGAACGGUAAGGAAUUGGUAAUGGAACAUCGCGUGGUCGAGGAAACCGCCAAGGAGGGAAGGGGUAAAGGGAAGGUCAUAGACGUGUCGCGUUGAAGAGCGGUAAAAGGAUCGUUGGUCAUUUUCCACGAAAAUUAUAGCCAUCUAUGCGCGUAAUCCCCUUUAUGGCCGCGUUGCAUCAAAUUAUAACUGGCAAUGGCGCUGCCAUCGUCUUUCCUCCUCCUCGCCUUCGCCUCUUCCUCUCCUCUCGGACCCGUGCGCUUCCUUCGUUUCCCGUUUUUUUUUUUUUUUCGUUCGUCUUCUCGUAGGUACGCGUCCUCGAAGCCUCGUAAAACGGCACAUUCCGCCAAUCAUCGCGGCACAUCGGCCAGAUACGUAACCCUUCGACCCGCCGAGCGACCUAACCUCUAAUUUCGCCGCUCGAUCCACGUGGACACGACGAUAAAUCGAUAAAUCAUCGCUACGAUCUCCCUACGUGAACGUGUAACAACAUGAACGUUUGCAUAAAGGCACGUAGUUAAAUUGCGGCCAUUAUCGCGGAGAUCAAAUGAUGAAUGCCGAUUCGAGAAAUAUGAGGUUCACGCGAACACCUCAACCAGUGUGCAACCACGUAUCGAUAUUCACGUUUGAUCGAUCCAUCGUAGUUAACGACCAUAGAUGGACAAGAAUUGCGAAAAGUAAUUAAACCCGAUUGGUUACGAAUUAUAAUCAUGCUUGUAAAUUAAUUUUCGAUAUACUACCGAGAUAUCGUCUCAGAUAUUGGCCAACGAUCAAUGAAAAAUUAAAGAUAUGGCUUCUCUUGGUCGGAUCACGAAUUAUAAUCAUCCUUGUAAAUUAAUUUUCGAUACACAACACCGAGAUAUCGUCUCAGAUAUAAGCGAAUGAUCGAUGAAAAAUUAAGAAAGUUUCAGAUAUAAGCUUCUUUUUUUGCUACCAUAAAUUAUAAUCAAGCUUAUAAAUUAAUUCUCGAUAUAAUAUCGUCUCGGAUAUGGGCGAACGAUCAAUGAAAAAUCAAGAGAGGUUAUGUAUAUUUUGAUUGCGUUUAAGUAAUACGUUUAUGAUUUAAUUCCAGAUAUGGCCUCUCUUUUAAUACCAUGAAUUAUAAUCAAACUCUAACAAAUUAAUUUUCGAAUUUAUAUUAUCGUCUUGGAUAUGAGAGAACGAUCAAUCAAAAAUUAAGAAAGAUACGUAUAUUUCGAUAGUUUCUUUUAGGUUAGGUUAGGUUAAAUGAUAAACUAUGAUAUUUCAAUAGACGCAUAGGAUAUUUAUAUAAAUUUUUCUACCAUGUUUGUUACGAGCUGAAAUGUUGAACAGUAAUAAAAAUAUCUUUGACCCA
Molecule: long non-coding RNA, 3561 nt
Organism: Apis mellifera (honey bee)
Lineage: Eukaryota; Metazoa; Arthropoda; Insecta; Hymenoptera; Apidae
Exons: 4
Source: RefSeq, a predicted model, not a curated record